UGCUUUACACAUGCAAGUCGAACGGUAACAGGGUGCUUGCACCGCUGACGAGUGGCGAACGGGUGAGUAAUGCAUCGGAAUGUACCGUGUAAUGGGGGAUAGCUCGGCGAAAGCCGGAUUAAUACCGCAUACGCCCUGAGGGGGAAAGUGGGGGACCGUAAGGCCUCACGUUAUACGAGCAGCCGAUGUCUGAUUAGCUAGUUGGUGGGGUAAAGGCUCACCAAGGCAACGAUCAGUAGCGGGUCUGAGAGGAUGAUUCGCCACACUGGACUGAGACACGGCCCAGACUCCUACGGGAGGCAUCAGUGUGUAAUUUUGUACAAUGGGCGCAAGCCUGAUCCAGCCAUGCCGCGUGUUUGAAGAAGGCCUUCGGGUUGUAAAGGACUUCUGUUCGGGAGCAAAUCCCAGUGGUUAAUACCUACUGGGGCUGAGAGUACCGAAAAAAUAAUGCACCGGCUAAUUACGUGCCAGCAGCCGCGGUAAUACGUAGGGUGCAAGCGUUAAUCGGAAUUACUGGGCGUAAAGCGUGCGCAGGCGGUUGUGCAAGUCUGAUGUGAAAGCCCCGGGCCUUACCUGGGAACGGCAUUGGAGACUGCACGACUAGAGU
This 607-nucleotide ribosomal RNA is filed under the name uncultured bacterium. Its description in RNAcentral is "bacterial SSU rRNA". It matches the Rfam family "Bacterial small subunit ribosomal RNA", at positions 45 to 647 of the family's 1533-position model. The record is from RNAcentral.